UGGGGAAUAUUGGACAAUGGGCGCAAGCCUGAUCCAGCAAUGCCGCGUGGAUGAAGAAGGUCUUCGGAUUGUAAAGUCCUUUCGGCGGGGACGAUGAUGACGGUACCCGCAGAAGAAGCCCCGGCUAACUUCGUGCCAGCAGCCGCGGUAAUACGAAGGGGGCUAGCGUUGCUCGGAAUGACUGGGCGUAAAGGGCGCGUAGGCGGAUGGCUUAGUCAGGGCGUGAAAGUCCUGGGCUUAACCUGGGGACGGCGCUUGAGACGGGGUUAUCUUGAGUGGGGAAGAGGGUCGUGGAAUUCCCAGUGUAGAGGUGAAAUUCGUAGAUAUUGGGAAGAACACCGGUGGCGAAGGCGGCGACCUGGUCCUUUAACUGACGCUGAGGCGCGAAAGCGUGGGGAGCAAACAGGAUUAGAUACCCUGGUAGUCCACGCUGUAAACGAUGUGCGCUGGAUGUUGGGCGGCCUAGCCGUUCAGUGUCGUAGCCAACGCGAUAAGCGCACCGCCUGGGGAGUACGCACGCAA
This 522-nucleotide ribosomal RNA is filed under the name uncultured bacterium. Its description in RNAcentral is "bacterial SSU rRNA". It matches the Rfam family "Bacterial small subunit ribosomal RNA", at positions 355 to 891 of the family's 1533-position model. The record is from RNAcentral.